GUUGUAUUCACAUUGAUUUGUCUCUGACUGUCAUCAUGGAAGCUGUUUUGAAAUUCUUGAAGUUAUAUGUGGGACAUUUUGGGAUGUUCAAUCUUGUUCUCUUGGCUCUGGAGGAGAUUCUGGGAAAGAACUUUGUAUGUCCCUGCAGGAGUGACUUUAAUCAUUGGAUUAGUUUUUUCUAUGGCUUUGUCCCAGCUCUUGGAUGCUUCAUUUGUACAAUACUGUUUGUGGAUCUGUCACUACAAGGAGAAGAUGAAAAGGAGGUGAAGAUAAUCAAAUGUACCAAACAAAGAUUAUUCUACUCUAUUCUCGCUGUAUCUACCUGUGUGUCCCUUUUUUUCCUUGAUGGCCGAUACUUGGCCUGUGCUUAUUCAAAUUGGGAUGGUAUCUACACGUCUGAAGAUCUGGGGACUGGAAAAUGGUGCAAGCCGACUGGCAAUGAAACCUCAAAGUUAGAAGCUCAGAAGAGGACUCUGGAGGGGACAUUUAUAUCUCAGGUUACAGGACUUGCCCUAAUGCUUGUGGUUAUCUUGGUUUUGGCAAAGUUCAAGUAUAGUAACUCCCAAGCCAACACUGGAGCAGGUGGUCAAGGCAAUACAGAAGAAGAAGCACCAAUAAGACCCACGGAUCACCAGACCGCCCAUUAGACUUUGAUUGUUGAAUGCUAAAAUGUGACUAACUUUUGAAAAAAAAAAAAUUUUGUGUUAUAUAGUGCAUAAAUUAUGUUAAAUAUACUGUAUAUACACAGUACACAGAUGCAUAAAAAUGUAUAAUACUUGUGUCGGCGCUUAUUCUGUAUCAAAAUAUACCCAUGAAUAUAUUCAAAUAUUGUUAAAGUAACAUUAUACGUACAAUUAAA
Long non-coding RNA from Clarias gariepinus (North African catfish), 859 nucleotides. RefSeq lists it as uncharacterized. The transcript has 3 exons. The record is from RefSeq and is a predicted model, not a curated record. NCBI's taxonomy places the organism in Eukaryota, Metazoa, Chordata, Actinopteri, Siluriformes, Clariidae.